This is a long non-coding RNA of Esox lucius (northern pike), 729 nucleotides long. RefSeq lists it as uncharacterized. The record is from RefSeq and is a predicted model, not a curated record. The transcript has 3 exons. Lineage: Eukaryota; Metazoa; Chordata; Actinopteri; Esociformes; Esocidae.
AGUGUAGUCAGUGUGUUGUCUUUACUAUGCUUGAUUUUGCCUGACCUGUAUUUUACAGUUACCAACGUGUGUGCUUUCUGAAAUCCUAAAUGAAGUGGUACUACAGGAAGGAGAUAAGGCAUACUUAAGAUUGGCUCUUGUGUGUACCACCUUCAGGGACACUGUGUCCACUGACUCCUUCAGGAGACGGGCACAUUUUCGGUGGCUUGACAGUAAGUGUUUAAAUAAAGGGUGCUGUGGUAUACAAUACUUGAGUACCUCACGUGUGUUUUCACUAACCUUAUGGAAAUGUUCACUUUUGAUUGAUAAUUUGUUUUUCACAGGUGUCGCUACAUUGAGCAGGUUUUCUGAGUCCUAAAGAAAAUAAUUCUACACCAUGUACACCGUGGACACCUGUCGUGAAUGUGGAAUGCUUUUCAAAAACUGCACACCUGGAUAUGUUGGAACAGGACAAAGGGGUGUACUUGAAGCAGUUUACUCAGAAUACCCACAUCCAGGUUACUGCGAUCACUUUUGCCGCCAAAUGCAAUAGUGAGAACGGACACGUAUACUAACUGUUGGCAGACAACCCUGAGCCAGCUGGGUGUUUUUCAAGCUGCAGGCCCCCGUGACAAUUUGUGGCUGGAAACUUGGGAUUGAAUUUUGAAUUCUCCAGUGUUAUUACAGACUGUUAAUUAAUUGUUUAUGACAAAAAAGAGAUGUCAUAUGUUUAAACAACCUUUGGGUGAA